Molecule: RNA transcript, 2497 nt
Organism: Aethalodelphis obliquidens (Pacific white-sided dolphin)
Lineage: Eukaryota; Metazoa; Chordata; Mammalia; Artiodactyla; Delphinidae
Gene: PRCC
Gene name: proline rich mitotic checkpoint control factor
Exons: 5
Source: RefSeq, a predicted model, not a curated record
GGUGGAGUGACUCGGCGGCCAUUAGCUGUGUGUAGUUGCCCGGGACUAGGAGCCUAAGUGGAGAGGGAAGGCUUAUUCGGUGGAAAUCAACUGUGGGCAUGGGCCUCUACCGGGGCUACCCCUAGAGUACGGAGAAGGCGGGCUUUUUGGUUCACCGCCCCGCUAACUAGCGGGGCCCACUAGGCCUCCGGACAUCCCCGGUGUCAAGUAGGCCUCGUCUGCCGGCAAGGGCGCCCCAAAGGCGGGAGGCGCCAUGUCGCUGGUUGCUUACGCCAGCAGCGAUGAGAGUGAGCCGGAUGAGGCUGAGCCGGAGGCGGAGGAGGAGGAGGAGACGGCAGCCCCUACACCUGGGCCCACUUUAGGGGGCUUGUUCGCUUCUCUUCCCGCGCCCAAGGGUCCGGCCUUGCUGCCUCCGUCCCCCCAGAUGCUGGCCCCAGCCUUUCCCCCGCCGUUGUUGCUGCCCACACCCACCGGAGACCCCCGGCUCCAGCCUCCUCCCUCCUUGCCCUUCGGUUUGGGAGGCUUCCCUCCACCUCCAGGCGUGAGCCCGGCUGAAGCGGCGGGAAUUGGGGAGGGGCUGGGAUUGGGGCUGCCCUCGCCCAGAGGCCCUGGCCUCAGUCUGCCCCCCCAUAUCGGCGGGGCCGGGCCCCCCCUGGGGCUUCCCAAGCCAAAGAAGAGGACAGAGCCGGUGAAGAUUGCGGCGCCAGAGCUGCAUAAGGGGGAUUCAGAUUCCGAGGAAGAUGAACCCACAAAGAAGAAAACUGUCCUUCAGGGAUCCAGUGAGGGGACUGGUUUGUCCGCCUUGCUUCCCCAACCUAAAAACCUGACUGUGAAAGAGACUAACAGGUUGCUCCUGCCCCAUGCCUUCUCCCGGAAACCCUCGGAUGGCUCCUCUGACACUAAGCCCUCCAGACAAGCUUCUAAGACCAAGCCCUCUUCUCUCGCCCCUGUUGUGGGCACCACAACCACCACUCCAUCGCCCUCUGCUAUCAAGGCUGCUGCCAAGAGUGCUGCCCUGCAGGUGACGAAGCAGAUCACGCAGGAAGAGGACGAUAGUGAUGAGGAAGUAGCCCCUGAGAACUUUUUCUCCCUCCCUGAGAAGGCCGAGCCGCCUGGAGUUGAGCCAUACCCUUACCCCAUUCCCACUGUCCCUGAAGAGUUGCCUCCAGGCACGGAACCAGAGCCGGCCUUCCAGGACGAUGCAGCCAAUGCCCCCUUAGAGUUCAAGAUGGCAGCAGGCUCAAGUGGGGCCCCUUGGAUGCCUAAGCCUGGGGAUGACUACAGCUACAAUCAGUUUUCCACGUAUGGCGAUGCCAAUGCCGCUGGUGCUUACUAUCAGGUGGGUAAGAGGCAUGGAGGGCAGGCCAGGGAAUGUUGGAGUACGGCCGUCAGGGAGAGCUUUGAGCCAGUGAUACGGCCUCUGUGGCAUCACUUUGGCUGAAUUAAUGAAUCUUCUGGUGCCUUGGUUUUCCUGUACCUGUCAGGCCUCAAAACAUACUACCUUUAUGCUAAGUCUUGUAGUCUGAUAGGUCGAAACACAUAAUUGACCCGUUUAUUCUGAAAACAAAAUGUCAUUGUAGGAGCUGAUGAAAGGUAUAGGGAGAAAGUGGAAGAGGAGCAAUCUCUAGUCUUAGAGAUCCCAGGUAGCUUCUGCAGAUGUGGGUGAGGAGGAUAAGUGAACAGCAGUGAGUCCAAGAAGAGUUCUGGAGGCGGGGAGUGCUGAGGACUGCAAGGGAGAGGAGGGACUGUGGAGGACAGGAGGGAAUCUGGAGAGUCGAAUGCAAAAGGGAAUAAGGAGAAUGGUGAGAGGCCUCGACUGAGUCACAGGAAGUUGAAGGGACUGAGGCAAGUCCCUGGAAAGAAGAUGCUGGAGGACCAUAGUUUGGGCAGAGAUAGAGAAUGGGGUUUGAGGGUGGUUUGGAGUUUGAAUCUCAAACUAUGUGAGUCUAUUACUUAACUGCCUCUCUGAGUCUCAGAUUUCUCAGCUCUAAAAUGGGAAGAAUACUAGCAACUUCAGGGUUGUUAGGUAGAAUUACAUUGGUUUAGCGUGCUGCCUGGAACAUAGCAAAUGCUCAGUAAAUGGUUAUGAUAACUUUUUAUUCAAAUGUUAUUUGGAAGAGCUGUUUAAAUUGUUCUAUGUGGCCUCAGAGAGUGAGAAUAUAUGAGGCCAGGUUGUAAAUAGGUUUAAGAAAGACUUUUCCAGUGGUCAGAGCUUCCUGAGAUGGAGAGAGCUCCCAGGAGUUCGGGGACUCACGGCAGUGGUGGAGGUGGAACAGAGGCCUCUGGCCGGUCCUGUGGCUGGGCAGCUGUAGGAAGUUUUCCUGCCAGCAUGCGAUGGUUUCAAGACUUCAGUCUUCUUCAGCCACUGUGAUUCUCUGAAUGGAUUAUUACAGUGGUGGCUACUAUCCCGCACAGGACCCAACUCUGGUCCCCCCACAGGAAAUUGCCCCAGAUGCCUCCUUCAUCGAUGACGAAGCAUUUAAGCGGCUGCAGGGCA